UACGUAGGGUGCGAGCGUUAAUCGGCAUUACUGGGCGUAAAGCGUGCGCAGGCGGUUUUGUAAGCCAGAUGUGAAAUCCCCGGGCUCAACCUGGGAAUGGCAUUUGGGACUGCAAGGCUGGAGUGCGGCAGAGGAGACUGGAAUUCCUGGUGUAGCAGUGAAAUGCGUAGAUAUCAGGAGGAAUACCGAUGGCGAAGGCAGGUCUCUGGGCUGACACUGACGCUCAUGCACGAAAGCGUGGGGAGCAAACAGG
RNAcentral lists this ribosomal RNA (253 nucleotides) under uncultured bacterium. RNAcentral's name for it is "partial 16S ribosomal RNA". It matches the Rfam family "Bacterial small subunit ribosomal RNA", at positions 524 to 776 of the family's 1533-position model. The record is from RNAcentral.